This 27513-nucleotide long non-coding RNA is filed under the name Gossypium barbadense (sea-island cotton). RNAcentral's name for it is "long non-coding RNA (GBAR_LNC014590)". Lineage: Eukaryota; Viridiplantae; Streptophyta; Magnoliopsida; Malvales; Malvaceae. The record is from RNAcentral.
UCAAGAUUUGCUUUGCAGUCAGAACAAGAGUUCGGAUAUAGUCAUACUACUGGCGGUCUCACAAUUCCCUGCAACAAAGAUAUCUUUCUCGAUGUCACCUCUCGAUUAAACUGAUUUGUGAGAGAUUUAACACAAAUCAACCCAUACAUUUUUGUAAAGCAAGCAUCACUAACACUAUGUAAAUACCUUUUUUCCCAUCCUUUUUUGCCUUGUUACUGUAACUUCUACCAAUCAGUAUAAAAAAUGACAGUUGAAAACACAUUGUUCAUUUCAAAUUUUAUUUCUUUUCAGAGUUUCUCCUGUUAUUGUUAGUUUCAUCUUUAUUUUAACUGUAAAUGAUCUACAGUGUUGAAAAUUUACUUCAACCAACAAGCUAAGUUAUAUAGACUCUUCAUUUUUCUUAAAGCAUCUGUUCUAACUUCUAACACCUAUAUCCAACACAUAUUUGGCUGUAAGUAUGAGAGUAUGAUCCUCCAAAUAUAUAAAAGAUUUUAACCUUGAAGAAAAGUGUCUUAUCCCCAAUUUUUAGUUGUGUUUCAACAACAAAGAAAGAUAAAAUCUUGCUGUUUUUUAUAUUCAUUAUCUUAGUCAAGUCAACAUAGAAUGUCAAGGUAGUCCAUAAUAUAUGCUUCCUUCUGGUCAUUGUAUAACACAUUACAUGUCUCAAGCUUGCCUCUAACAUCAAGAUAAAAUCAUUUGUAGUUGGACUCUUCAUUUUCUUCAAAAUACAAGUGUCCGGCACAUAUUCAAACAUGAAUAUAAAGUAUAUAAUCCUCCAAAUAUAAGAAAAAAAACUUAGAAAAUUCGAGAACACCCGUAUUCAAUACUCAAGCUCAGGUCCUGGUAACAUAGACUACAAGUAUUCUUUUGCAUUUUAGUAAGGUUUUUAAAUGAUAAAUUUUCUUUCAUAAAUCUCAAAGUAAUUUUCUUAAUGCAGAUUUGACAAAGAAUUAAUACCUAUGUCUCACUGUUCUUCAAAAGCCAGAAAUCAAUUUUUAACUAUAUAGACAAAGUGACUUGAACUUAUAUAUGUAGAUAACUCAAAAAUUAAGAAAUGUGGAUUAAAAACAGAUUCAUCUGUAAGGUUAUUCAUAUAUAUAUAUAGCAGCGCAUACCAGAAAAUUUUGGUUAGUUGUCAACGCUUAAUAUUGUCAUGGAACAAUUUGAUUGCAGCAUGGCAUAGACAACAACCAGGAUAAAAUGCAACCGGUUGGGGUUCCAGUGAGGACUAGUUGUAGCAUGUACACACACUUAAGGCGUUCUUCAGAGUGGCUUGUCUUACAAGUUACUCACCAAAGGAAGACAUGAGUGUAAUAGGAGAGGUCAAUGUCACCCAUGUUAUAUGUUUCCUGUCAUUGUCUGACAGAUUAAAUGUCUCAAAUGUAGCCUGAAAUAAACGGCAAAGUAGUCGGUCCUUAGUCGGUUAUCCUUUCAAGUCUUAGCCAUGGAAUUCUUUAUCAUCCUUUGGAAGACAACACCAUGUGAUUCCCCAUGAACCCAUGUCUUUCUCAUUACCGAUCAGACCCCAUCAAUUGCACCUUCACCACUCAUUCCAUAUCCCCCCCUUAACAAAAUAUGAACAUUAUUUCCUCUCUGCCCCUUACAUCUAUAUAUAAAAGUAAGAUUAAGUUCAUUGCCAACACCUACCUUCAACAUUCUCAAGCUUGCUUUCUAAGUUAUCUGAGAUCCUCCACUUCUUCCUUUUUCAAAGCAUACAUCUAUUGUAAACAAAAAUGGCUAUCCGCUCGCCUCGUAUCAUAAGCUCUAAGAAAGUUCCCAAGGGCUACUUUGCAGUUUAUGUUGGAGAAAACCAGAAGAGGUUUGUGAUACCAGUGUCGUUCUUGAGCCAGCCUUUAUUUCAAGAUUUGCUAGGCAAGUCAGAAGAAGAGUUCGGAUAUAGUCAUCCUACCGGCGGCCUCACAAUUCCCUGCGAUGAAGAUAUUUUUCUUGAUGUUACCUCUCGCUUGAAUCAAUUGUGAGAGAAUCAACACAAAUCUGCCUAUACAAUUUUGUAAAGCAAAAAUGUCUAACACCAUGUAAACAUUUUUUCUCCAUCUUUUUUGCCUUGGGGAGCAAAUACAAGUCUCCCUGAGUGAAAAAUUACAGAUGGUUGUUACUGUAACUUCUAUCAAUCAGCAUGGAAAAUGACAGUUCAAAACACAUCAUUCAAUUGGAAUUUUAUUUACUUCCAGAAUUUCCUAUCAUUAAUUUAACUAUAAAUGAUCUACCUUGUUCUAAAUUUACUUUAAUAUACAUGCUAAGUUAUUCGGACUCUUCGUUUGCUUUAGAAUACAUGCAUCCAACACAUAAUCAAACAUGAGUACAAAAUAGCAUGAUUCUCCAAGUAUAUGAAAAAACUUAUAUCCCCUUAUUGCAAUCUUUUAGCCAAAGAGUUAAUAGCUUUGUUUCUUUUUCAAGUAGGAAUUAGUCUUUAUAUAUAAUAAUUAACAGUACAUGACUUAGUAAAAUUUUUUUUGAAGGUAAAACAUAUAAAAUGACUUUUUUUUAUUAGACAUAAAAUACAUAUAAAAAACCAUACAAAAUUGCUUAAAUGUAAAGAUGUAAAUGAAAGAGGAUAACCUUUGUGACAAAAAAGAAAACUAAAAUGAAGUUAUUUAAAUGAAAUAGGGACUUGAACAUAACUGUGAAAAAUAUAACAUGACCUAAAAUGAAAUUAACCCAAUAUCAAACUUUGAAUAUUAACUCAGAUUUUAAUGGCCUUCUUUUCUUUUCUUUCUUUCUUUCAUGGUUUUUUUUUUUUACCAAGUCAUGUACAAAUAAUGAAUAGUCAAAAUAUGCAGACAACACUCAACAAACAUGCCAUCAAACAAGUUGACCAAAACCAGAUUCAUCUGUAAGGUUAUCCAAAUAUAUAUAUAUAUAGCAGCACAUACCAGAAAUUUUGUGAGCUGUCAAGCUAAGUUUUGGCUUCACCCCUAUGGAACUGUUUGAUUGCAGCACGGCAUAGACAAGAACAAGGAUAAAAUGCAACCAAUUGGGUUCUGGUGAGGACUAGUUGCAGCCUGUAGGACACACUUCAGGUGCUCUUUACAAGGGUUUGUCUUACAGAUCUACACCUUACUAAAAAUCAACAUGCUUGGUGAAGUCAGAAUGUAAGAGGAGGUCAAGGUCACCCAUGUUACAUGCUUCCUGUCAUUGCCUGACAGAUUAUAUGUCUCUAAAGUAGGCACUGACAUAAAUGGUGAAGUGGUACAACUCUUUUAUUGUGAAGAAGCAUUUUACUGGUCCAGAUCUUCCAUAUUUGAGUGGGGUCCUUGGUCGGUUUCUAUUGCCAGAAGGGGUAGGCAAAGUAUUUUUUCAAAGUAUUUUGCCAUGGAAUUCUUGAUAAUGAGUUACACGACAACACCAUGUGAUCCCCUCUAAUGAAGCCAUGUAGAACAUGAUUUCUCUCUACCCCUUUCAUCUAUAUAUACAAAGUAGAAUAUGUUCAUUUGCAACACUAAUCUUCACAUCCUCAAAUACUAAAGUACUUUACCUUUGCUUUCCUUUUUCAAAGCAUACAUCUAUCUAAAACAACAAUGGCUAUUCGCUUGCCUCGUAUCGUUAGCUCUAAGAAAGUUCCCAAAGGCUACUUUGUGGUUUAUGUUGGAGAAAACCAGAAGAGGUUUGUGAUACCAGUGUCGUUCUUGAACCAGUCUUUGUUUCAAGAUUUGCUAGGCAUGUCACAAGAAGAGUUCGGAUAUAGUCAUCCUACAGGCGGUCUCACGAUUCCCUGCAACGAAGACACCUUUCUCGAAGUUACCUCUCGCUUGUAUUAAUUGUGAGAUGAUUAACACAAACCAGGCAAUACAAUUGUGUAAAGUAAACAUAACUAAUACCAUGUAAACACUUUUUUCCCAUCCUUUUUGCCUUAGGGAGCAAACAAUAAGUCUCCCUAAGUGGAAAAUUACAGAUGGUUGUCAAUGGAACUUGUAUCAACCAGUAUUGAGAAUGACAGUUCCAAACACAUAAUUCACUUGAAAUUUCUUUUCUUUUCACGAUCUCCUAUGGUACAAAAUUACUUCAUAGUAAUAUAUAUUUUUUCUAUAAUUUGAAAGACUUUACAUGUUUUUCUCUGUCCUAAUAAGCUGAGAUUGAUCUACAUAACAAAGUUCAUGACUGUAAUUGCUUUAUAUUAUAUAUACCAUUUGUAUAUAUAUAAGUAUGAACUUCGAAAGUAUUAAUAAUAAUGAUUUGAACUUAAUUGAUGAAGCUACCUGUUCUCCAACACAGUACAUCUAAUUUCCUUUUGACUUGACAUUCUAUCUCCCCUUAUCGGAAUCUUUUUUGCCAAAGACUUAUAUAUGAAGAGAACUCAACAACGUCAGAAAUGUGGAUCAAAAACAGAUUCAUCUGUAAGGGUAUCCAUAUAUAUACAUAGCACCGCAUACCAGAAAAUUUUAUGAGCUGUCAAGGCUUAAUAUUAUCAUGGAACAAUUUUAUUGCAGCAUGGCAUAGACAACAACCAGUAUAAAAUGCAACCGGUUGGGGUUCCAAUGAGGACUAGAUGUAGCAUGUACGACACACUACGGGUGGUCUUCGUAAUGAAUUGUCUUACAAGUUACUCACCAAUGUAAUAGAAGGUGAAGGUCUCCCAUGUUAUAUGUUUCCUGUCAUUGUCUCACAGAUUAUGUCUCUAAAAUAGCCUGAAAUAAACGGUAAAGUAGUCGGUCCUUGGUCGGUUAUUCUUUCAAGUCUUAACCAUGGAAUUCUUUAUAAUCCUUUGGAAGACAACACCAUGUGAUUCCCCACGAACCCAUGUCUUUCUCAUUACUGAUCAGACCCCAUCAAUUGCACCUUCACCACUCAUUCCAUACCCCCCACUUAAUAAUUGAUGAACAUGAUCUCCUCUCUGUCCCUUAUAUCUAUAUAUUCAAGUAAGAUUAAGUUCAUUGCCAACACCUAGCUUCAACAUUCUCAAUUUUGCUUUCCAAGUUAUCUAAGAUCUUCCUACUCUUCCCUUUGAAGCACACAUCUAUCAAAAACAACAAUGGCUAUCCGCCUGCCUCAUAUCAUUAGCUCUAAGAAAGUUCCCAAAGGCUACUUUGCGGUUUAUGUUGGAGAAAAUCAGAAGAGGUUCGUGAUACCGGUAUCGUUCUUGAACCAGCCUUUGUUUCAAGAUUUGCUAGGCAUGUCACAAGAAGUGUUCGGAUAUAGUCAUCCUACAGGUGGUCUCACGAUUCCCUGCAAGGAAGACAUCUUUCUCGAUGUUACCUCUCGCUUGAACUGAUUUGUGAGAGAAUUAACACAAAUCAACCCAUACAAUUUUGUAAAGCAAAUAUCACUAACAUCAUGUAAACACUUUCUUUUCCCAUCCUUUUUUGCCUUGGGGAGCUGAUAAUAAGUCUCCCUAUGUGGAAAAUUAGAGAUGGUGGCUUCUGUAACAAUUGGAAACACAUCAUUCAAUUGAAAUUUUAUUUCUUUUUAGAAUGUCCUAUGGUCCCCUUGUUAUUGUUGAUUUCAUAUACAAUUUAACUGUAAAAAAUUCACAUUGUUCACAAAUUAUUUCAACUUCCAAGCUAUGUUAUAUAAACUAUUCAUUUUUCUUAAAAAUAGUUGUUCUAACAAGGGGUGUUCAUAGUUCGGUUAAAACCGAAUUAACCGACCAAAUCGUCUAAUUCUGUUAAUCAGUCGGUAGCCAAAUUUAGUUCGGUCGGAUGUCAGUUAAUGAUUUUUUGAAAUUUUGAUUAUCUGUUAAUUCGGUUCGAAAUCGGGUAAUUAUCUGAAUUAAUCAAUUAACAGAAAUAAAUAAUAUAUAUUAUAUAUAAUUGUUAACUUUUUUUUGGUUGUUUACUUUCAAGAUUUAUGUAAUGUUUCUAAUGUCUGUUGGAAUAUUUUCAAAUAUUUAUAGUAUCCCAAUAACUAUAAAUGAAUAGGUGUAAUUAAUCAAAAGAUAAAACUUUUGGUCAUUGGUCAAAAGUUAUAUCAUUUGAUUUUUUAAAAAAGAAUUAUAACUAUUCAAAAAAUAUUAUUUGAAUAGUUACAAAAUUAAAUGAAUAAUUAUUAUUAUUUAUUUAUUCAUAAAGACACCUAUUGAAAGAUGUCUCUAUGAAGAGACAUGAAAAUUCCUAUAAAUAGGAAUGGGAUUUCAUUUGGAAAUCAUAUCAACAAAUUCUAAUAUUAUUUCUUCUCUUCCUUCAUUUUCUAAUAUUAUUAGAUUAUUCUAUAAAGUAUUGCUGCAGAAAUCCUUUGUAGAAAUUGAGUUUUUGUUAUACAUUACUCAGUGCAUAGUGGACUAUUCUCGUCAGUGCAAAACGCAAAUAGUCAUUGGCUUCAUUGUAUCCUCGAGGUUAAUUUGCUUGGAACUCAUUUGCACACUGAAGAUAAGUGGGGGCGAAUAUAACCUUAAAGAUAGUGGCUUGAUACACGCCUUGGAGCCUGUCCUAUUUCUUCUUUUUCUUUUCGAGUUCCGAUCGUGUGUUCGAGUUUUUUCCUUACCGGAGUUUUGUACUAACAAUUUUAAGGUUAUAGUUCAUGAUGACUACCACAACACAUGAAAGUGGAACACUAAGGGAGUUGGCUUCCAACUUUGUUAAACUUGAUCGUUUUGAUGGUGGCAAUUUUCGACGAUGGCAGAAAAAGAUGCACUUUUUGUUAUCAACUUUGAAGAUUACUUAUGUUUUGGAUACUCCAAGACCUGAAGAGAAUGAAAACGAAUCUAUUGCUGCAACCCGAGAAAGACAAAAAUGGGACAAUGCUGAUUACAUGUGCAUGGGCCACAUAUUGAAUGGUUUAUCUGAUGGUUUGUUCGACACCUACCAAAACGACGUCACCGCUAAAGAAUUAUGGGACAAAUUGGAGGUAAGAUACAUGACCGAAGAUGUUACAAGUAAGAAAUUUCUUGUCAGUCGUUUUAAUAAUUAUCAAAUGGUUGAUGGUCGUUCUGUUAUGGAACAAUUUCGUGAUAUUGAAAAGAUGCUGAAUCAAUUUAAGCAAUAUGAUAUGAAAAUGGAUGAAAUGAUUGUGGUAUCCUCUAUAAUAGACAAACUUCCUCCAUCUUGGAAAGACUUUAAAAGAAGUAUAAAACAUAAGAAAGAGGAAAUAUCUCUUGAGGCUUUGGCAAAUCAUCUUCGUAUUGAAGAAGAGUAUCGAAAACAAGAUCAGAACCUAAAUUCUGAAAAUGCCAAAGUACAUGUUACGGAGGAAGUACAGACUACUAAACCAUUCAAAAGAAAGUUCAAUCAGGCUGAUAGAGCACCUAAGUUCAAAAAGAAACAAAAGGGCUCAUGCUAUCAUUGUGGAAAGCCGGGACAUUUCAAGAAUGAAUGUCGAUUUUUAAAGAAGAAAUCAUCUUCUAAGGCUGAUAAUAACGAAAAGUUCGUUGCAAUGAUAUCUGAAAUUAAUAUGGCACAAGAUGAUAAUACAUGGUGGAUUGAUACCGGAGCAACCAAACAUGUGUGCAAAGACAAAAGCAUGUUCACAAAGUUCACACAAUGUGAAAAUGACAAUGUCUUGUACAUAGGAAAUUCUUCCACCGCAACAAUUAAAGGCAAAGGGUCUGUUGAACUACAAUUCACUUCUGGAAAUGUUUUAACCUUAAAUGAUGUAUAUUAUGUACCAGAAGUUAGGAAAAAUUUAGUGUCUGGAAGUCUGUUGAAUAAGUUUGGUUUCAAACUUGUUUUUGAGGCAGAUAAGUUUAUUUUGUCUAAGGGAGGAAUUUUUGUGGGAAAAGGGUAUAUGUAUGAAAGCAUGUUCAAACUUAAUAUUAUUAAUAAGAAUAAAAAUACUAUUUCUGCUUAUAUGGUUGAAUCAUUUUGUUUGUGGCAUUAUAGAUUAGGUCAUUUGAAUUAUAGAAAAUUGAAUGACAUGUAUAAAUUAGAUUUAAUUCCUGUUUUUAAUAAUAAUAUUGAAAAAUGCAAUACCUGUAUGUUGACUAAAAUUACAAGAAAUCCUUUCCCUAAGGUUAAAAGGAAAACAAAAUUGCUUGAUUUGAUACAUAGUGAUUUAUGUGACUUGCAUAAUACUCCUACAUUAGGUAGAAAGAAAUAUUUUGUUACUUUUAUUGAUGAUUGUUCUAGAUAUUGUUAUGUAUAUUUAUUGCAUUCAAAAGAUGAAGCGCUUGAUAAAUUUAAAGUUUAUAAAUCUGAAGUUGAACUUCAGUGUGAAUCAUUUAUCAAGUGCUUAAGAUCGGAUAGAGGUGGAGAAUACUAUAAUCCAAGUUAUUUUGAACUCACUGGAAUUGUCCAUCAAGUUUCAGCCCCUUACACACCACAACAAAAUGGUGUAGCUGAAAGGAAAAAUAGAGUCUUGAUUGAAAUGGUAAAUUCAAUGUUAUCAUAUUCAGGUCUUGGACAGGGUUUUUGGGGAGAAGCUGUUCUAACAGCUUGUCAUAUAUUGAAUAGAGUUCCUAAUAAGGAAACUAAAAUAACCCCCUAUGAACAAUAGAAGAAAAGGAAACCAAACCUUAAUUAUUUAAAGGUUUGGGGUUGUAGAACUAUUGUAAAAGUUCCAACACCUAAACGUAAAAAGUUAGGUGAAAGAGGAAUUGAAUGCAUAUUUAUAGGUUAUGCACAUAAUAGCAAGGCAUAUAGGUUCAUAGUAAUUGAACCAAAUGAUUCAAUUUCAAUUAAUACGGUUAUUGAAUCAAGAGAUGCUAUUUUUGAUGAAAAUAGAUUUAAUUAUAUAUCAAGACAAUUACAACCACAACAAUUGAUUCAUUCUUCAAAUGAGAAUGAGAUUCCAUUGAAACAAAUUGAUAAUAAUGAUGAAUCUUGUCAAGAAUUAAGAAGAAGUAAGAGGAUUAAAAAGGUCAAAGAUUUUGGACCAGAUUUCAUUAUGUUUCUUGUAGAAGGAAAAGGUGAAAGUAUAUGCAAUAAGAUACCUUAUUGUUAUAAUACCGAAUCUGAUCCUAUUACAUUUGAAGAAGCAGUGAAAUCUCAAGACUCUGCUUUUUGGAAAGAAGCAAUAAAUGAUGAAAUGGAUUCAAUAAUGGGAAAUCAAACUUGGAUCUUAGUUGAUCUUCCACCAGGUUCCAAACCAAUAGGUUGUAAAUGGAUGUUCAAAAAGAAAAUGAAGGUCGAUGGAACCAUUGAUAAAUUUAAAGCAAGGUUGGUAGCAAAAGGUUUUACACAAAGACAAAGUAUUGAUUACUUUGAUACCUAUGCUCCAGUAGCAAGAAUUGCUACAAUUAGACUAUUAAUAUCACUUACCUCUAUAUAUAAUUUGGUUGUUCACCAAAUGGAUGUUAAAACUGCAUUUUUAAAUGGUGAAUUGGAAGAGGAAGUGUACAUGGAGCAACCGGAAGGAUUUGUUGUUCCAGGACAAGAGCAUAAGGUAUGUAAGCUUGUUAAAUCUUUAUAUGGGCUUAAACAAGCACCAAAACAAUGGCACCAAAAGUUUGACAAGGUUGUUUUAGCUAAUGGCUAUAAAAUAAAUGAAUCCGAUAAGUGCAUAUAUAGUAAAUUUGAUAAUGGAAAGGGUGUUAUAAUUUGCUUAUAUGUAGAUGACAUGCUCAUUUUUGGCACGGAUUUGGAACAAAUAGAAAACACAAAGAAAUUCUUGUCAAACAACUUUGCUAUGAAGGAUAUGGGUGUAGCAGAUGUUAUUCUUGGGAUUAAAAUAACCCGAGAUGAAAGCACUAUAGCUUUAUCACAAUCACAUUACAUUGAAAAUGUGCUUAAAAAGUUUGAUCUUUUCAACUGUAUACCAGCAUCUACACCCAUGGAUCCUCAAUUAAAAUUAGUAUCUAAUGCUGGUAGGAAAAUUGAUCAAUUGAAAUAUGCAAGUCUAAUUGGUUGUCUUAUGUACAUAAUGACUUGUACAAGACCAGAUAUUGCAUAUGCUAUUGGAAAAUUGAGUAGAUACACAAGUAAUCCAAGUAGUUUGCAUUGGCAAGCUUUAAAUAGAGUACUUAGGUACUUAAAGAAAACUAUUAACUAUGGAUUGUGUUAUAAUGGAUAUCCUCCAGUUUUAGAAGGGUAUUCGGAUGCUAGUUGGAUUACAAGUUUGGAAGAUCAUGCAUCUACUAGUGGGUGGAUCUUCAUUCUUGGUGGAGGAGUCAUUUCUUGGGGUUCCAAGAAACAAACAUGUAUUACCGAUUCCACCAUGGCAGCAGAAUUUAUUGUAUUAGCCGCUGCAUCUAAAGAAGCAGAAUGGUUAAGAAAUUUGCUUUAUGAUGUACCUUUAUGGCUUAAGUCAAUUUCACCUAUUUCUAUCCGUUGUGAUAGUGAGGCUACUCUAGCAAAGGCAUAUAGCCAAGUAUAUAAUGGAAAGUCUAGACACAUUGGAUUAAGACAUAGUUAUGUCCGACAAUUAAUCUCUGAUGGAGUGAUCACUAUUAAUUAUGUGAGGUCAAGUGAAAAUUUGGCAGAUCCUUUGACAAAAAGUCUUGCUAGAGAUGCAGUAAAAAGGACCUCAAAAGGGAUGGGACUCAAGCCUAUUAAUUAGAGUCACCCAUGAUGGAAACUCGACUCAACGCUUGGUAUAACGUCAAGUCUUGAGUUCAAUGAGACAAAGUACAUCAUUAGUAUGUGACUGUUAGCACUAUAAAUAAAUCCAUCCUAAGAUUAAAGUGCUAGGUACCCGUAAUGAUAAGGGAAGGAUGAGUAAUGUACUCUUAAUGGACCCAUAACAUAAAUAUGUUAGAGUGUUAUAAUUACGGGAACACUUUUGAUGGGAUCUACCUAUGUGAGUGGAAGUGUGGCCGCUUCUAGGAGCUUAAGGGCUUGGCUCUGACAGCACUCAUGAAAAGAGGACAUAGACACAUGGCUAUAAUAGUGUCCCUAGAUACUAUGCAUUGACUGAUGUUGAAAUCAUUGUGUGAGAUGUGUUCAGUUAAUCAAAUGGAAUAGUUGGUUCAAAGCUUAGUCUACCAUACAAUUUCGAUUAACUUUAACAUGUUUUCACUAAGUGAAGGUUCAAUCGUAAGACACCUUUAUUUAUGCAAAUUGAUUUCCAAGAAUAUCAAAAUCUAAAUAUUUUGAAAAUGGGGGGAGAUUGUUGGAAUAUUUUCAAAUAUUUAUAGUAUCCCAAUAACUAUAAAUGAAUGGGUGUAAUUAAUCAAAAGAUAAAACUUUUGGUCAUUGGUCAAAAGUUAUAUCAUUUGAUUUUUUAAAAAAGAAUUAUAACUAUUCAAAAAAUAUUAUUUGAAUAGUUACAAAAUUAAAUGAAUAAUUAUUAUUAUUUAUUUAUUCAUAAAGACACCUAUUGAAAGAUGUCUCUAUGAAGAGACAUGAAAAUUCCUAUAAAUAGGAAUGGGAUUUCAUUUGGAAAUCAUAUCAACAAAUUCUAAUAUUAUUUCUUCUCUUCCUUCAUUUUCUAAUAUUAUUAGAUUAUUCUAUAAAGUAUUGCUGCAGAAAUCCUUUGUAGAAAUUGAGUUUUUGUUAUACAUUACUCAGUGCAUAGUGGACUAUUCUCGUCAGUGCAAAACGCAAAUAGUCAUUGGCUUCAUUGUAUCCUCGAGGUUAAUUUGCUUGGAACUCGUUUGCACACUGAAGAUAAGUGGGGGCGAAUAUAACCUUAAAGAUAGUGGCUUGAUACACGCCUUGGAGCCUGUCCUAUUUCUUCUUUUUCUUUUCGAGUUCCGAUCGUGUGUUCGAAUUUUUUCCUUACCGGAGUUUUGUACUAACAAUGUCUUGUUUUCACCUCCAUUUAAAAAUUAUUUGAACUAUUGCUUCAAAAAAAAUUUUGAACUAUUAAAAAAAUAAACAUUAGUAAUGUAUUUUUUUCCUUUUUUUUACUUAUUUUAAUAAAAAUUUCAGUUAAUGUAUUUGAAGAAAUCUGAGGUAUGGGACCAAGUCAUUUGACUAAAUGGUAUGCCUUUACCUAUAAAAGUUUCUGAGUUGGCUGAUACAAUGAAAUGUUAUAUUUUCUUUUGUCUUUGACAAUUUGUGGUGGAUUUGAUCAUUCUAAGUAAAAAAUAGCAUAUUAUUUAGCUUAAUGUACCCAUUAAAUAUGCUGUAUUGCCAGAUUAGUCCCCGAUUUUUACCAUCACUCUCCUCUAGGAUAUGUCAAGCAACAGCAUCACAUGAGCUGAUCAACUUGCUUGUUUUGGUGUCUGGAGGUAAUGAAGAUAAACAGGAAAUUUGACAGUGGAACUUUUGAUAAUGUUAGACUAGUCCACAGAGUUGCCCCUACAAUUUAACCAUCGAUAACUGGGAUAUUGCAUUACGGACAGCUCCUACAAACAAAUAUCAGUUCAGGGUGGGACAGCCACUAAUUUGCGUUGUGAAGUGGUGAUAUUAAAUCUCAAGAUAGUACAAAGUAACAUGGAAAGUUCAGACCAGCUUUGUUCACUUUCUGGUAGCCAAGUCCAUGUGACAUAUUUUCUCUAUAUAUACUAGUUGAGAGGGUGCUUCCUACUGUCUAAUACAUAUUUUCAUGCCUUAGCUAUUGAGAAGCCUUAGAGCUGCAUAUCCUACCAUUACGAUUUUUUCAGUGACAUGAGAAUUAUGGGUUUCAGAGUACCUGUACUAACAUAAUUAUUUACAACAAAUUUCCUUUUGAUCUGAUACCGCGGAAGCGUGUGAAAGAGUAAAAUUAUUGUACUAAAAAAUCACACUAAGUUCAAUUCCCAGGAAAGAGAGGUGGAUCACGAGGAUCGCUUAAGUACCAGGUCUUUCCUAGCCAGAAUAUUCCUCUAUCGUAAUUUAAUAGCACAAUAAAUCACUACAAUCACACUCACAAAAUAUGGAAAAUAAACAAUAAAGAACACUAGAAUUUUAACGAGGUUUAGCAAAUUUUUCCUACGUCCUCGGGCACUACCAAAUAUAUUUCACUCUAAAAAUACAAGUGAAAUUUUACAAAUAAGGAGAGAGAAUAAUGCCUUAAGUAGAGAAUGACAUUUGUGGGAUGGAGAAAAUGAGAAAUAGCUAGGCCUAUUUAUAGUUGAAGCUCAAGGAUUAACUUGUAAAGUUUCUAUACAAUUAGGGACCAAAAUUGGAAUUAUCCCAAGCCAAAUUUCAACCCAAAAAUCUAUGCCUUAAAUGCUUAGAUUUUCGGUGCGAAAUCUCUGACACAAAUAUCUUUGAAAAGUCAAAGAUUGUAGAUUGCCAAUAAUCUCCACCUUGAAGAUUUGAUUAGGAUAAUCUUAUCUUCACACAAUUCUUUCUGCCUUUGACAACAAUACUUGAUAGUGCCUUCUUCAACUGUUAAAUUUGCAGGAUAUUGAUCAAGUUCAAACAAUGUUUGAACUUGAUUGUUGUUACCACCUUAGUCAUCAUAUCUGCGGGAUUAUCUGCAGUCUUGAUCUUUUGAAGACGAAUUUUCCCCUCAUCAAUAAUUUCCCGCACAAAAUGGAAUCGUACGUCGAUAUGCUUUGUACGUGCAUGAUAGACAUGAUUCUUUGCUAAAUGAAUAGCACUUUGACUAUCACAAUACACGUCAAUAUGCUCCUGAACCAAUCCCAAGGUUUUAACCAUACCUUGUAACCAAAUAGCUUCCUUUACAGCCUCUGUUACAGCCAUGUAUUCGGCUUCUGUGGUUGACAACGCAACUGUAGACUGCAGUGUAGACUUCCAACUUAUUGGUCCUCCAGCAAGUGUAAACACAUAACCGGUGGUUGAUCUUCGUUUGUCCAAAUCACCGGCAUAGUCAGAAUCAACGUACCCAAUAACACCUUUACCAAGUGUAGUAUCCUGCUUGAACAGUAAUCCAACAUCCACGGUCUUCAGAAUAUACCGUAGAAUCCAUUUCACAGCUUGCCAAUGUCCUUUUCCAGGAUUAUGCAUAUACCUGCUCACUAUACUAACUGCCUGUGAAAUGUCGGGUCUUGUACACACCAUUGCAUACAUCAAGCUACCCACUGCAUUAGAAUACGAAACUUGUAACAUGUAUUCUCGUUCCGUAUUCGUCGAAGGAGAUAGUUGUGCAGAAAGCUUGAAAUGAGAAGCCAACGGGGUACUUACAGGUUUUGUCUGCUCGUUCAUGCCAAACUGCUGUAGUACUUUCUUCAAAUACUGCUUCUGAGACAAGCUAACUCUGCCAUGAGCUCUAUCUCUACUUAUUUCCAUGCCAAGAAUCUUCUUAGCUUCACCCAGAUCUUUCAUCUCAAACUCAAGAUUGAGUUGAGUCUUCAAUUUCUCAAUCUCAACUUUGCUCUUAGAUGCUAUUAGCAUAUCAUCAACAUAUAAGAGCAAGUAUAUGAAAGUUCCUACUUAUAGCUUCUGAAAAUACAUGCAAUGAUCAAAUUUACUUCUUGUGUACCUUUACCCUUUCAUGAACUGAUCAAAUCGCUUGUACCACUGCCUCGGAGAUUGUUUCAAUCCAUAAAACGACUUCGUCAGUUUGCAAACCCAAUUUUCUUUAUCAGCAACCUUGAAUCCAUCAGGCUGAGUCAUAUAGAUUUCCUCCUGUAAAUCACCGUGUAAAAAAGCCGUCUUCACAUUAAGCUGAACUAGUUCAAGGUCAUAUUGCGCAACCAAGGCUAGCAAAAUCCGAAUAGACGAAUGCUUCACAACUGGAGAAAACAUUUCAUUGUAGUCUAUUCCUUCUUUCUGAGCGUAACUCUUUGCUACCAAUCUAGCCUUAUAUCGAAUUUCAUUUUUACCAGGAAAUCCUUCCUUCUUUGCAUAUACCCAUUUGCAUCCAAUUGCCUUCUUUCCCUUGGGCAGUGUCACCAACUCCCAAGUCCUAUUUUUAUGAAGAGACUGCAUUUCUUCAUUCAUAGCUUGCUUCCACUUUACACCAUCAGGGUUACUUAUUGCUUCUGUGUAAGUAGAAGGAACAUCAUCAUCUGCAAUUGGAAGUGCAUAGGCCACUAUAUCAUCAAAGCGAGCAGGCUUACGAAUCUCUCUUCUUGGCCUCCUAUAUGCAAUUGAAUCUUGUUGCUGUAAAAGUUCUUGGGUCGAAACUUCUUCAUAAUUUGUUUCUUCAAUAUUAGCUGGAUCAUCAUUAACCUUUUCAAGCUCCACCUGCUGCAAAGUACUACUGGUUUUGUCAUCCUUUUGUGAAUCCUUGUUUUUCAUCAUGGUUGAUUCAUCAAAAGUCACAUCUCUACUGAAAACAAUCUUCCUUGUAUCAGGACACCAGAGACGGUAUCCUUUUACUCCACCAGUUAUACCCAUGAAUAAUGCUUUCUUUGCUCUUGGGUCUAACUUAGAUUCUUUUACAUGAUAAUAUGCAGUGGAACCAAAAACAUGUAAAGAAUCAUAAUCAGUAGCAGGUUUACCAGUCCACAUUUCCAUAAAAGUUUUUCUAUUUAUUGCAGUUGAUGGCAACCGGUUAAUCAGAUGGCACGCAUAUGUAACUACCUCAGCCCAAAAUUCUUUGCCCAAUCCAGCAUUGGACAACAUAUAUCGAACUUUCUCCAGUAUAGUUCGAUUUAUACGUUCUGCCACCCCAUUCUGCUGUGGUGUAUCUCGAACAGUGAAGUGUCGCACAAUGCCCUCAUCUUGACAUACUUGAAGAAAUGGGUCAUUUUUGUACUCAGUACCAUUAUCUGAUCGAAGUCGUUUGACCUUUCGACCAGUCUGAGUCUCCACCAUCUUCUUCCAUUUCAGAAAUACAUCCAAAACUUCACUUUUUCUUUUCAUUAGAUACACCCAUACUUUUCUUGAAUAAUCAUCAACAAAAGUAACAAAAUAAUGCAUACCUCCCAAAGAAGCCACUUUGGUAGGUCCCUACACGUCACUGUGAACGUAGUCCAGAAUUCCUUCCGUACUGUGGAUUGCUGAACUAAAUUUUACCCUCGUCUGCUUGCCCAGAACACAAUGUUCACAGAAUUCCAAUUUGCAAGAAUUUUCACCUUUCAACAGGCCUUGCUUCGCCAAAGUUUGCAAAUCUUUUUCACCAGCAUGUCCCAAUCGCCUAUGCCAUAACUUGGUAGCCUCUGAAUUUGCAUCUUUCACUGAAACUGUUGAUGUUGAUCCAAUAACUGUACUUCCAUUUAAAUAGUACAAGUUAUUUCUUCUAGUGCCUUUCAUCACCGUCAAUACCCCAGCUACUACCUUUAGCAAUCCAUCUCUCAAAGUGACUGUGAGCCCUUUAGAUUCUAGGGCCCCUAAUGAGAUGAGAUUUUUCUUCAAGCUAGGUACAUAGCGAACAUCUGUCAAGACUUGGAUUGAGCCGUCGUGAUUCUUCAAUUUGAUUGUACCUACUCCCAUUGUCUUACUAGCACUGUCAUUGCCCAUAAAAACAACUCCACCUUCUAGUUCUUCAAGACUAGAAAACUAGUCCUUAUUAGGACACAUAUGGUAAGUACAUCCCGAAUCUAAUAUCCACUCAUCUGUAUGACAUGUCAUUGCCAUGCCAACCAAGCUAAAGUCUGACUCCUCAUCAUGCUCCGCUACACAUGCAUUAGAAAUAGCCUUGCCCUUUUGUAACUUAGGACAAUUCUUUUUCCAAUGCCCUUUCUCACAACAAAAAGCACAUUCAUCUUUGGCGGGUCUCCCUUUGGACUUGCCCCUUCUACCAGGUUUGUUGCUGUGUGAACGACCUCUUACUGCUAAGGCUUCUGCAGUUGCAUCUCUGUGAUCUCUUUUAUCUUUUUUUCGAGUCUCAGAUCUAUACAACGCGCUGCAGACUGCAUCAAAUGUGAUCGUAUCCUUCCCAUGAAGCAAUAUGCUGGUAAGAUGAUCAUAUUCAUCAGGAAGAGAAUUCAACAACAAUAAUGCCUUGUCUUCAUCUUCAAACUUCUCAUCCAAAAUUAGUAAGUCUGCUAAAAUUUUAUUGAAUGAGUUCACAUGGUCAUUCAUCGACAUACCGGGUGCAUACGUGAACCGAAAAAGUUUUUUUUUCAUAUAAAGCCUAUUUUCAAGACUUUUCGUUAGAAACUUUUCUUCCAGUGUAUCCCACAACUUCUUCGUUGAUGUCUCCCUCAUGACAGAGUACUUCUGCUCUUUGGCCAAACAUAGGCGGAUUGUACCACACGCCUGUCUAUUGAUCUUGGCCCACUCCUUAUCAUCCAUCUUGUCAGGCUUUUCUUCAAGAGCUAUAUCCAACUCUUGCUGACAUAAGACAUCCAGGAUCUCACAUUGCCACAUACCAAAAUUAUUGGUACCAUCAAAUUUCUCUACUUCAAAUUUUGCAUUGGUCACGGUAGUCUUUGUUGAUGACGAUGCCUCUGCCAUUCUUCUCCUCGAUCCCAACUACUGUAUAUGUGAACAGUACCAUCUACGUGAAUAGUGCCGUGGAUGAACAAUACCGUAUACGUAAAUAGUAUCGUAAACGGUCGUAUUCCCCAAGUACGAAUCUAGCUCUGAUACCAAUUGUUGUGCGAAAGCGUGUAAAAGAGUAAAAUUAUUGUACUAAAAAAUCACACUAAGUUCAAUUCCCAGGAAAGAAAGGUGGAUCACGAGGAUCGCUUAAGUACCAGGUCUUUCCUAGCCAGAAUAUCCCUCUAUCAUAAUUUAAUAGCACAAUAAAUCACUACAAUCACACUCACAAAAUAUGCAAAAUAAACAAUAAAGAACACUAGAAUUUUAACGAGGUUCAGCAAAUUUUGCCUACGUCCUCGGGCACUACCAAAUAUAUUUCACUCCAAAAAUACAAGUGAAAUUUUACAAAUAAGGAGAGAGAAUAAUGCCUUAAGUAGAGAAUGACAUUUGUGGGAUGGAGAAAAUGAGAAAUAGCUAGGCCUAUUUAUAGUUGAAGCUCAAGGAUUAACUUGCAAAGUCUCUAUACAAUUAGGGAUCAAAAUUGGAAUUAUCCCAAGCCAAAUUUCAACCCAAAAAUCUAUGCCUUAAAUGCUUAGAUUUUCGGUGCCAAAUCACACAAAUAUCUUUGAAAAGUCAAAGAUUGUAGAUUGCCAAUAUUACCCUUUACCCCCAAUAUGUCAGCUACAUAGGUAAGAUGAAAAAGGGGGUGAGAAUGAGACUUUAAUAAUCAAUAAUAAGUAAAUAUAUGCACGUAACAAAUAUACCUUCAUAUAUGUUAUAGCUAAGAUUUUGACCUUGAAAAACAGUGCCAAAAAUGAUAUAUUCAUGCCCCUUAGUUUAUUUUCAUUUUCUUAGUCAAGUCAACAUUGAAGGUCAAGGUAGCCCAACUGUAUAUGUUUCUGGUCAUGGUAUAACAGAUUACAUGUCUCAAGCUUGCCUCUAACAUCAAUGGUGAAACAAUACCAAUCUUAUACUAUGAAAAAGCUCAUCGAUACAAAAAAAAAAAAACUAAAUAAACAAAGUGACUUGAGCUUAAUGGCUGAUGCUAUCAAAUCUGUCCUUCAACACAUUAUACAUAAUAAUGAAUAGUCAAUAUAUGCAAAGAACCAUGAAUUUACAUGCCAAGAAAAAUGUGGAACGGAAACAGAUUCAUCUCUAAGGUUAUUCAUAUAUAGCAACACAUACUGGAAAUUUCGUCAGCUGUCAGGUUUAGUAUUGUCUUUCUCCCCCGUGGAACUGUUUGAUUGCUGCACAGCAUAACCAACAGCCUGGGGACUAGUUGUAGCAUGUAGGACACAUUUUUUGAGUGAAUUCAGCAUGACAGAUUGUUUGUCUCUAAAGGUUGCCUCUAAUGUAAAUGGUGAAGUGAUAAGAAUCUUCUACCGUGAAGAAGGUUUUUAAGGAUCCAAAGCUUCCAUAUUCAAGUGGGACCUUGGUCGGUUUGUUCUGCCGGAAAGGGUAGGCAAAUUAUUCUUUCAAGUCUUUGCCAUGGAAUUCUUUAUAAUGCUUUGGAAAACAACACCAUGUGAUGCCCCACUAACCCAUGUCUAUCUCAUUAAUGAUCAGACCCCAGCAAUUGUCCCUUCACCACUCAUUCCUCAUCCUCCACUUAAUAGAGAAACAUUUCCUUUGGCCCAUUGCAUCUAUAUAUACAAGUAAGAUUAAGUUCAUUGGCAACACCUACUUUCACAUUCUCAAGUACUAAACUUCUUUACCUUAGAUUUCCAAGUUCUCUGAGAUCUUCCUCCUCUUCCCUUUUGAAGCAUACAUCUACUGAAAACAACAAUGGCUUUCCGCCUUUCUCGUAUCGUUAACUCUAAGAAGGUUCCCAAGGGCUACUUUGCGGUUUAUGUCGGAGAAAACCAGAAGAGGUUCGUGAUACCGGUGUCGUUCUUGAACCAGCCUUCAUUUCAAGAUUUGCUAGACAUGUCACAAGAAGAGUUCGGAUAUAGUCAUCCUACUGGCGGUCUCACGAUUCCCUGCAAUGAAGACACCUUUCUCGAAGUUACCUCUCGCUUGUAAUAAUUGUGAGAUGAUUAACACAAAUCAGGCAAUACAAUUUUGUAAAGCAAACAUCACUAAUACAUGUAAACAUUUUUUUCUCCAUCCUUUUGGCCUUGGAGAGCUGAUAUAAGUCUCCCCAAGUGGAGAACUAGAGAUGGUGAUUAGUGUAACACUCCUAUCCAUCAGUAAUGAUAGUUCAAAACACAUCAUUCAAUUGUCAUUUUAUUUCCUUUCUGAAUUUUUUACUUGUUCGCGUUAAUUCAUCUUUAAUAUAAACUGUAAAUGAUCUACUUUGUUCUAAAAUUACUUUCAAACGUGAGUACAUGCUAAGUUAUUUGGAGUUGGACCCUUCAUUUUCGUUCAAUUUCAUGUGUCCAACACAUAUUCAAACAUGAGUACAAAGUCUAGUUAAGAUAGAUCACAAGUUUUCUUUUGCAUGGUAGUAGCUUAUUAAACGAUCAAUUUCGUGUUAUAAUUUUCAAAGUAAUUUUCUUAAUGUAGAUUUGCCCAAGAAUUAAGAUAUAUAAAGAUUUGAGGCAGGGGACUAAGUGAUUAAUAAAACAAACCUAAGGACAAAAGAUUUUAAAGGAAAAAAGAGAAAAGUAAAAGAGAGAUAAGUUCAUGAUACAUGCUGAUUAGUUUUAUCAGAAAGUAAACUUGCCUAAUAUGGACGUCUUUCCCACAUCAUUCUUUUUACUUGCUUGGUUCUAUGAAAUAUGGUUAAUCGACUUUGCUCAAAUUCAAGAAAAUUUUCUAGUAGUCUAAACUCCAAUCAUGUAUAUGGAGACAAGUAUACAAAUGACUGAAUGUAACAUCAAAUGGCAGAUUUUUUAUCCAAAAGGUAAUAUCAAAUAUGUUCACACUAAGCAUAUUACUAUCCAAAAGGUGACAGCAGCUGCAUAAAUAACCAAAGGCCAUCUUGUUGUUUAUGUAGGUGAAUCCCAAAAGAGGCUGGUUUAUAAUUCCUGUUUCAUUCUUAAAGCACCCUUCAUUUCAAGAACUGAUAAAGUAGACUGAAGACGAGUUUGGCUUUGAAUCAUCCAAGGGGUAAUCUCACGGUCCCAUGUGCAGAAGAAGCCUUCAUUGAACUUUCUUGUAGUUUGAAUAGCUUUCUCACUUUGACCUGACAUCUUAUCUCCCCAAUAUAAUAAUGAAUAGUAAAAAAUGUACAGAGAACAGAACAAACAUACCACCAGAAAUGUGGACUAAAAACAGACUUAUUUGUAAUGGUAUCCAUAUAUAUAUAGCAGCACAUACCAGAAAUUUAGUGAGCUGUCAAGCUGAAUAUUGUCUUCACCCCUGUGGAACUAUAUGAUUGCAGCACGGCAUAGACAACAAACCUGGAUAAAAUGCAACAACUUGGGUUCAGAUGAGGAGUUGUUGUGGCCUGUAGGACGCACUUUAGGCGCUCUUCACAAUGGAUUGUCUUGCAAGUUUUAUGUGAAGUCUGUACGAAAUAGGAGGUCAAGGUCACCCAUGUUACUUGUUCCCUAUCAUUGCAUGACAGAUUGUAUGUCUCUAAAGGUUGGCUCUAAUGUCAAUGGUGAAGUAAUAAAAAUCUUCUACUAGGACGAAGCUUUUAUGAAUCCAAAUCUUCCAUAUCUGAGUAGGUCCUUAGUCGGUUCAUUUUCCCGGCAAGGUAGGGAAACUAUUCUUUCAAGUCUUAGCCAUGGAAUUCUUGAUAAUGCUUUGGAAGACAACACCAUGUGAUUCCCCGUAUACCCAUGUCUUUCUCUUUACUGAUCAGACCCCAGCAAUUGCACCUUCACCACUCAUUCCACAUCCCCCACUUAAUAAUAGAUGAACAUCAUUUCCUCUCUGCCCUACACAUCUAUAUAUACAAGUAAGAGUAAGUUCAUUGGCAACACCUCCCUUCAACAUUCUCAAGCUUGCUUUCCAAGUUAUCUGAUAUCUUCCUUUUCUUCCCUUUUGAAGCAUACAUCCAUCAAAAACAACAAUGGCUAUCCGCCUGCCUCGUAUGGUUAGUUCUAAGAAGGUUCCCAAGGGAUACUUUGCAGUUUAUGUUGGAGAAAGCCAGAAGAGGUUAGUGAUACCGGUUUCAUUCUUGAACCAUCCUUCAUUUCAAGAUUUGCUAGGGAAGUCAGAAGAAGAGUUUGGAUAUAGUCAUCCUACCGGUGGUCUCACAAUUCCCUGCAACGAAGACACCUUUCUCGAAGUUACCUCUCGCAUGUAUUGAUCGUGAGAUGAUUAACACAAACCAGUCAAUACAAUUUUGUAAAGCAAAAAUCACUAAUACAUGUAAACAUUUUUUUCUCCAUCCUUUUUGUCUUGGGGAGCCGAUAUAUAAGUCACCCCAGGUGGAAAACUAAAGAUGGUGAUUACUGUAACACUCCUAUCUAUUCAGUAAUGACAGUUCCAAACACAUCAUUCAGUUGUCAUUUUAUUUCCUUUCUGAAAUUUUUACUUGUUCUACGCUAAUUCCGUCUUUAAUAUAAUUUAAAUGAUCUACCUUAUUCGAAAUUGCUUCAUACUACAAGCCAAGUUAAAUGGAGAAGCAGUAGAGUACAACUAUUCUACUUUGAAGAAGCAUUUUAAAGAUGACAGUUAAACUUAAAAGACAUCAUUCAAUUGAAAAUUUAUUUCUUUAGAGAAUUUCCUAUGGCACCCCUGUUAUUGUUAAUUUCAUCUUUAAACUGUAAGUGAUCCAUAUUUUUUCAAAAAUUACUUCAUAUUACAAGCUAACUGUAAAUGACUAGCAUUUAUCAUUUUUCUCUACAUAUACGAGUAGUAAGGGUGCUUCCCACUGUCCAAUAUGAAUAUAAUUGUACAUAUAUAAUCUAACAUAAUGUAAAUUUCUGUAUACUUUUGUCUCCAUUGUUCCUGUACAGGAAAUUCAAAGUAAAAUUCACCACCCACUUUUAUUCUCCUUUUUGCAAACAAUGACUACUUAAUAUAUAGAUGUCAGCAAGUGGAAUGUAAGGCCACCAUCAUCAUCACUUCUUCUAUUCAAAUUCCCUUUUGACCAGUCGUCUUAUCUCCCCUUAUCCCAUUCAUUUAGCUAAAGUGUUAAGCUUACUGUUACUAAUAAAUGGUCAAUAUAUGCAGAGAACUCCACUGUAAUGUGGAUUAAAAACAUAUUCAUCUGAAAGGCUUAAUAUUGUCUUUCUCCCCCAAGGUACAGUUUGAUUGCAGCACAGCAUAGACAACAAGAAGGAUAAAAUGCAACAAGUUGGGUUCUGACGAGGACUAGUUGCAGCCUGUAAGACACACUUCAGGUCUCCUUCACAAGGGUUUGUCUUACGAGUUACUCAUUGAAGUUAACACAUGACUGAUCAGACAAUGUGAUUUACCAAUGAAUUCUUGAAAAUUCAUUUGCCUAUACCGUUUCUUUCAUAUGAAAAUAGACUCGAUAAUCUUUAAUCAUAUACCUCAUUCAUUCUAAUAUCCUCGGUGAAUUUUUCAAAAUCACAUCACUGCUGCUGUCCAAGAAAAAAAAAACUAUUCCAUUGCAAUUUUUUUUUACUCUUUCAUAAUUUCUUUGUAUUAACUAGCAUUUAGGCAUACAUAACACUAAACAUAUUCUUAAUUAGCCAUCUCAAUAGCUAAUCAUUAUCAAAUAACUUUACUUCCUUAUUUCAACCUUUUUCGAAACACAAUCCAAACAAUUAACCAUGUUAUUUAAUCAAGCAUGAAACCACACAUAUCAAAAUAAACAAGCCAUUUUUGCAUGGCUCAUUAUAUAUAUAUAUAUAAACAUCAUUCAAAAUAUAUUCCAAAAAGUAGUAUAGACUAUACAUGCCAUAAGUUUAAGUUUAACUUUUAUAAAUACCGAUAACGGACGAUAGUGUGAUUGAUUUCGUUAACGAUCCCCGAUCCCGCAACUAACUUCCAAAAUCUACAAAACCGAGGCAAACACAUAUGCACGGGAAGCUAUCAAAGCUUAGUAAGUCACAAGCAAAUAAACAAUCCAAUGUUAUUAAUAGUUCAAUAUCACAUAACCAAAUUAUUCAAUUCAUAUUCAUAUAUAUAUAAGCAUAAAAAAAAUUUGUGAUAUCACAUACCCUUACCAUUUGGCCAAAUAUAGUCUUUAAUACACACACACAUACUUUCAUUUGCAUCAUCUAAUUUGUAUCACAAAUGAAAUAACCAACUUACCUUGAUAUCAUAUAUUAUUUAACUAUUACAUACUUGUAAUAUCAUGUACUUAUAUGUCACAUUCAUCAUUCAUUGGAUCCGCACAAUUUGUGCUAAAUAAUUUGUCGAAGCUAUAAUGACGUUGCACAAUUAGUGCUCUCUCUUAUUUAACCAAAUUGAUCUUGGUAUUGCACACUUAGUGCCUGUUAGUCGACAUUGUCAUUUUUUUUUCGCACACUUAGUGCCCGUUAUUCAACAUCGUCAUUUUAAUUUCGCACACUUAGUGCCAUUCGUAUAGCCAUAACUAUUCCAUACUCGCACACUCAAUGCUAAAUAUCGGUAAAUCACAUCCACGUCUAUUUCUGUUACCCGAACUUAAACACAUUCAGCUACAUAUAUAUAUUUGCAUGUUUUCAUUUCAGCAUAUAUAUAACUAAUAUUUAUUUAGAAUUUAUAUAAUCUAUUAGCUUAUAAACUUACCUUGGACAAUGAUAAAUCGGAACGGAACAAUUAAUCAACAACUUUUGUUUUCCCCGAUCCAAGUCCGAUUUCUUUAAUUCUUGAUCUAAACAUGUUCAAAUUAAACUCAUUCAAACAUGAUUUCAUUCAAUUCAGUCAAAAACGCAUAAAUAAGUAAAUUUCACUUUUGCCCCUGACAUUUCACAUUUUUCACAAUUUAGUCCCUAUUUCACAAAAUACAAAAUAUUCCAAAUUUGACCACACUAUAGCUCGGCCGAAUAUUCCCUAGACUCAUAUAAGUCCAUACAUUUCAUUUAUUUUACAUAUUUAACACCUAUUUUAUAACCUUUACAAAAUGGUCCUUUUAGGUGUUUUCAUGGUAACACCUUUAACAAAAGUUGUUUAUUUAACAACUAAGACUCAUUUUCUUCCAUAAAAAUGCAGCAACCUCACAUGGCAAAACCCUAGACUUCCAACCAUUUUGCAAAAUAGUCCCCUCAUUAGCUAGCUCAAGCUACAAGGGUUCCAAAAGUACAAAAAUUAUCAAAGACUGGUCAUCAAAACACUUACUUGUAAGGAGAAAAGCUUGCUGAAAUUUUUGAGCUCUCAAACCCCUAUUUUACUGCUAAUUUUCGGUGAUGAAGGUGGAGAAGAAAACAUGAUAUCACUCUUUUCUUUAUUUUAUGAUAAAAAUCAAUUUAGUCACCAAAUAUUUACCUAACCAAUUGACCAAAUCUUUUCUUUGCCCCUAUGGCCGGCCACCACCCUAAACAAGGCCUAAUUGCACAUUAGGGACCUCUAAUUAAUAUUCUAUAGCUUUUAGACACCUUUAUCUUGUAAAAUAGAACUUUUACACUUUAUGCGAUUUAGUCCUUUUAUCAAAUUAAGCACACAAACCGUAAAAUUAAAUCAUGAAAUUUUCACACAUAUUAAUUCAAAAAUUAUAAUCACAGAAAAUAAUAUUUAAAAAUUUUUCUAACUCGAAUUUGUGGUUUCGAAACCACUAUUCCGAUUAGGAUCGAAAUCUGACUGUUACACACACUCCAUUCUGUUGAGGAGUAUACACUGUUGUUAGCUGAUUGUGAAUUCCAGCUUGUUCACACAGUUUCUGAAACAAUAGGUACUCAGUGCCAUUAUCAGUUCUCAAGGCCUUGAUCUUGCAACCUGUCUGGUUUUCAACUAAAGCUUUGAAUUUGCUGAAUGCUUCAAACACUUCAGAUUUUUGCUUCAAGAAAUAAACCCAACAGAACCUGGUUAAUUCAUCUAUGAACAAAACAAAAUACUUACUGUCAUUCAAUGAAGAAGUCUUCAUUGGUCCACAAACAUCAGAAUGAACCAAUUCAAGUUUUUCUCAAGCUCUCCAUACACUGUUAGCUGGAAAAAGCAAUCUAGCCUGCUUACCAAGUUGGCAGACUUCACAAACAGUGUUUCUUACAUCAACCCUAGACAUGUCCUCAACCAAGUUCAGCCUAUGCAACAAGUCAAGUGAUCUAUGGUUAACAUGGCCAAGCCUUUUGUGCCAUAGGCCAGCAUUAUCAACAAGAUUGGUGUAGGCUUUCUUCUCGAGUUGAUUCACAUUGAGCAUAAAACACUUGUCUGCCAUUGCUAUUGUGACUAACUCUUGGCCAAAUGAAUCUUUAACAAUGCAGGAGCUAUCUUUAAAGACCAAAGAAUAUCCUUUUUCCACUAACUGACCAACACUAAGCAGAUUCUGAUCGAUGUCAAGCACAAAAAACACAUCAGAAAUGAUUUUGUUACCUGAACAAGUCUUGAUCACAACAUCUCCUCUGCCUUGAGCUUCAAUCAGAUUCCCAUUACCAAUUUUUAUUUUUGCAGCAAAGCUUCUAUCAAGGUCCUUGAAUAGCUUCUCAUCAGCUGCCAUAUGGUGUGAGCAACACUAUCCACUAGCCAAUCACAUCUGACUUUGCUUGUGCUAGCAAAGUAGGAGGCUGUGACAAACAAUUGGGAGAAUUAUAACUGAAAAAAUUCACCUUAAUUUUUCAUUCAAAAUUUGAAUAAUAUAUGAGUUACAAAGUAAUGGGCAGUUACCUUAUGACUUAACUGCUCCCACUAAUACAAGACUAAGAUUUGUUUGAAUUACACACAAAAGAUAGCUGACAUAUCAGCUAUUACAUAAACUUAAAUCAUAAACUAAUCCUACUAAAUUUGUGAACAAAUUACAAAUGAACUAGCCAAAGUUACAUAGGAACAAAAUGAUCAAAACAUAUUGUUGUAUUCGGUUCAGCUAUAUUUUUGCACUUCAAACAGUCUUGCUACUGGUGUUGUGCUGAACUACUGCUGGUCUCCUGUUGCAAUGCAGGCCAAAGCUUAACAAUCUACCUUGUUCUAAGUUAUUCGGACUCUUCAUUUUCAUUAGAAUACAUGCAUCCAACACAUAUUCAAACAUGAGUACAAAAUUGCAUGAUUCUCUAAAUAUAUGAAAAAACAUAGAAAAUGUAUUCAACAUUCAAGCACUAUUCCGAGUAACAUAGACUAUAAUAAUGAAUAGUCUUAUAUCCCUUUAUUGCAAUCUUUUAGCCAAAGAGUUAAAGCUUCGUUCUUUUCUCAAGUAGGACUUAGUCUUUAUAUAUAAUAAUGAAUAGUCAAAAUAUGCAGAAAACACUUAACAAACAUGCCAUCAAAUAAGUGAACUAAAAACAGGUUCAUCUGCAAGGUCAUCCAUAUAUAGCAGCACAUACCAGAAAUUUAGUGAGCUGUCAAGCUGAAUAUUGUCUUCACCUCCAUAGAACUAUUUGAUUGCAGCACGGCUAGUCAACAACAAGGAUAAAAUGCAACUAGUUGGGUUCUGAUGAGGACUAGUUGCAACCUGUAGGACACACUUAAAGUGCUCUUCACAAGGGUUUGUCUUAGAAGAUCCAUACCUUAUUAAAAUCAACAUGCUUGGUGAAGGUCACCCAUGUUACAUGUUUCCUGUCAUUUUCUGAUAGAUUAUAUGUCUCUAAACUAGGCACUGACAUAAAUGGUGAAGUGGUACAAUUCUCCUAUUGUAAAGAAGAAUUUUACUGUCCCAGAUUUUUCAUUCGACCAGUCCUUGGUCGGUUUCUAUUGCCAUAAGGGAUAGGCAAACUAAUUUUUCAAAGCCCCUCCCGUGGAAUUCUUGAUAAUGAGUUACAAGACAGCACCAUGUGAUCCUCCCCUAAUGAAGCCAUAUAUUUCUUAUUAGUUAUCAGACCCCAGAAAUUUCCCUUUCACCGCUCAUUGAACAUCCCCACUCAACACAGGAACAUGAUUUUUCUGUCUACCCCUUUCAUCUAUAUAUACAAAGAAGAAUAUGUUCAUUGGCAACACCUAUCUUCACAUUCUCAAAAUACUACAGUUCUCUGAGAUCUUCCUCUUCUUCCUUUUUAGAAGCAUUCAUCUAUCAAAAACAACAAUGGCUAUCCGCCUGCCUCGUAUCAUUAGCUCUAAGAAAGUUCCCAAGGGCUGCUUUGCAGUUUACGUUGGAGAAAACCAGAAGAAGUUCGUGAUACCAGUGGUCAUUCUUGAACCAGCCUUUAUUUCAAGAUUUGCUUUGCAUGUCAGAACAAGAGUUCGGAUAUAGUCAUCCUACCGGCGGUAUCACAAUUCCCUGCAACGAAGAUAUCUUUCUCGUUGUCACCUCUCGAUUGAACUGAUUUGUGAGAGAUUUAACACAAAUCAACCCAUACAUUUUUGUAAAGCAAACAUCACUAACAUCAUGUAAACACUUUCUUUUCCCAUCCUUUUUUCCCUUGGGGAGCAGAUAAUAAGUCUCCCGAUGUGGAAAACUAGAGAUGGUGGCUUAUGUAACAAUUGGAAACACAUAAUUCAAUUGAAAUUUUAUUUCUUUUUAGAAUGUCCUAUGGUCCCCUUGUUAUUGUUGAUUUUAUAUACAAUUUAACUGUAAAAAAUUCACAUUGUUCACAAAUUAUUUCAACUUCCA